RNAcentral lists this ribosomal RNA (764 nucleotides) under uncultured eukaryote. RNAcentral's name for it is "bacterial SSU rRNA". It matches the Rfam family "Eukaryotic small subunit ribosomal RNA", at positions 690 to 1426 of the family's 1831-position model. The record is from RNAcentral.
AGGUUUUUAAUCUAGAUGUGCAUAUCAACCUUUACAUUUGCUUACCUUUUUAAAGAUAAGCAGUACUUUGAGAAAAUUAGAGUGCUCCAAGCAGUCUCUUGAUCGGAGACAUGAAUACUACAGCAUGAAUACUUGGAUCGGACAUUUGCUCGACCGAUUGGUUCCUAGGAAAAAGUCACGAUUGAUAGGGACGGAUGGCGGGUGCUCGUACUCCAUGGCAGAGGGUGAAAUUCUUGGAUUCAUGGAGACGAACAAUGCGAAAGCAUUCACCAAGGACGUUUUCUUUAAUCAAGAACGAAAGUUGGGGGAUCGAAGACGAUCAGAUACCGUCGUAGUCUCAACCAUAAACGAUGCCAACUUGGGGUCCGUUUAUCAACUUUUAAAUGAAUAGAAAUAUUGAUUUAAAAACUAGGUAGAUGGGAACCCAUAUGAGAAAUCCAAGUCUUCAGGUUCCGGGGGGAGUAUGGUCACAAGGCUGAAACUUAAAGGAAUUGACGGAAGGGCACACAAGGAGUGGAGCCUGCGGUUUAAUUUGAUUCAACACGAGAAAACUCACCAGGUCCAGACAAUGUGAGGAUUGACAGAUUGAAGAUCUUUCUUGAUUCAUUGGGUGGUGGUGCAUGGCCGUUCUUAGUUGGUGGUGUGAAUCGUCUGGUUAAUUCCGUUAACGAACGAGACUUGGUUCUUGUGAGGUACUCAAACCUCUAUAUAACUAGUGCUCCUUUUUGUUAAAAAAAGGAAGGACUUCUUAGAGAGACUAUCGG